Molecule: long non-coding RNA, 168 nt
Organism: Bombus huntii
Lineage: Eukaryota; Metazoa; Arthropoda; Insecta; Hymenoptera; Apidae
Exons: 2
Source: RefSeq, a predicted model, not a curated record
GGACGUUAAAAACCGGACGAUCGUUACACGGAUGUCUUGCGUGAGUCUUAGCUCGAACAUGAUACGACGAACGAAGUUUGGCACUUUGGCGAGAUGCAUAAAACGCUCGUACAUACAUACAUACAUAUAUAUUAGAGUGUUCUCCUUCUAUUCGAAUUUUUUUUCUCU